CUCUGCAUCUGUAAGGUGACGGGUGCUGACUGUAGUUAGUAAUGCUGUACUGCCUAUCUGACAUGGCUCUGCAUCUAUGUAAGGUGACGGGUGCUCACUAGACUUAUCGGGGCGAUCACUUUGCUAUGCAUACAAGUGCUGAAUCAUUAUG
Molecule: long non-coding RNA, 151 nt
Organism: Orcinus orca (killer whale)
Lineage: Eukaryota; Metazoa; Chordata; Mammalia; Artiodactyla; Delphinidae
Exons: 3
Source: RefSeq, a predicted model, not a curated record